GGGCGGGGAGGGCCCCCCGGGUCCCCGGCGCACGAGGGGGGGGUCCUGCCUCCUGUCUAGUACUUUUGGUGACGGGGACGGUGUCUGGUUUGGAGAGCAGAAGCGUUCCGAGUUUCCGGAGGAGCAGGGUACCGUGUUGUGUCCAAGAUCGUGGUGAACAUAAGGACCGGUGCUUAAAAAGCAUAGAUGUGGCAUUCACGAAGACAAGGUGCACGUAAGUGUGGAGUCAAGGUGUGCAGUCUAUCCCUUUCCCAGUGGAAGAGGUGUGAACUGGGGCAAUCCCAAUUACAUGUAGGAAUAUGUGUCUGAGAAUUCUGUCUCAGUUCUGUUGGGGCUGGAGAGACGGCUUAGCAGUUAAGACUCUUGCCGGCAAAGCCAAAGGACCUUGGUUCAAUUCCU
Molecule: long non-coding RNA, 399 nt
Organism: Jaculus jaculus (lesser Egyptian jerboa)
Lineage: Eukaryota; Metazoa; Chordata; Mammalia; Rodentia; Dipodidae
Exons: 3
Source: RefSeq, a predicted model, not a curated record